AGUUUGAUCCUGGCUCAGAGUGAACGCUGGCGGCAGGCCUAAUACAUGCAAGUCGAACGGCAGCACAGCAGAGCUUGCUCUGUGGGUGGCGAGUGGCGGACGGGUGAGGAAUACAUGGGAAUCUGCCCAGUCGUGGGGAUAACGUAGGGAAACUUACGCUAAUACCGCAUGCACCCUUCGGGGGAAAGCCGGGGACCUUCGGGCCUGGCGCGAUUGGAUGAGCCCAUGUCGGAUUAGCUAGUUGGCGGGGUAAUGGCCCACCAAGGCGACGAUCCGUAGCUGGUCUGAGAGGAUGAUCAGCCACACUGGAACUGAGACACGGUCCAGACUCCUACGGGAGGCAGCAGUAGGGAAUAUUGGACAAUGGGCGCAAGCCUGAUCCAGCCAUGCCGCGUGAGUGAAGAAGGCCCUCGGGUUGUAAAGCUCUUUUGUCCGGAAAGAAAAGCGCCGGGUUAAUACCCUGGUGUCCUGACGGUACCGGAAGAAUAAGCACCGGCUAACUUCGUG
RNAcentral lists this ribosomal RNA (507 nucleotides) under uncultured bacterium. Its description in RNAcentral is "bacterial SSU rRNA". It matches the Rfam family "Bacterial small subunit ribosomal RNA", at positions 10 to 507 of the family's 1533-position model. The record is from RNAcentral.